AGUGAUAACUUUCAAAUUCAGGGAAACCACGGAAUUAAAAAAAAAARGGUAAUCCUGASCCAAAUCCUGUUUUAUCAAAAGAARGGUUCAUAAAMCGAAAAAGGGAUDGGUCCAGARMCUCGAUGGAAGCUGUUYUAGCAAAUGGGGCWUUGGUAAAGGAAUYUUUMCMCCGAAMCAUCARAARGGGUCAAGGAUAACCCUAUCCGUUGAAUACUAUAUUAUAAUUAUAAUCAAUUUUUUAAUGAUAGCCCGAAUCUCUAUAUGKAUUUUUUUAUUAAAAAUAUAAAAAUUGGCGUGAAUUCAUUCGACAUUGAAAAAAAAAUAUAAUUGUUAUUCAUCAAAUUAUUCACUCCAUAGUCCGAUAAACCUUUUCAAGAACUGAUCAAUCGGACAAGAAUAAAGAUAGAGUCCCCUUCUACAUGUCAAUACCGACAACAAUGAAAUUUAUAGUAAGAGGAAAAUCCGUUGACUUUAAAAAUCGUGAGGGUUCAAGUCCCUCUAUCCCCAAACAAGCUUAUUUUACUCCCAAAACCUUUAACCUACCCUCUAUCUUUCGGUUAAAAAUUUAUUUCUUUUUCUGAUUCUUUAACAAACGCAGGUGAACGUAAAUGACUUUCUCUUGUGAUAUAGAAUACACAUACAAAUUGAGCAAAGAAUCCCCAUUUAAAUGAUUCAAAUCAAUAGCUUUACGAAGACUGAAACUUAAAUUUUGUUUUGAAGAUUAAAGAAAUUAAAGUACUUGUAUAGAAAUUUGUAAUCUACCUUUUGUCUUUAAUUGACAUAGACCCCAGUCAUCGACUAAAAUAAUAAAAUGAGUAUGGAUUAC
Molecule: unclassified non-coding RNA, 826 nt
Filed under: Utricularia resupinata
Lineage: Eukaryota; Viridiplantae; Streptophyta; Magnoliopsida; Lamiales; Lentibulariaceae
Description: partial contains tRNA-Leu (trnL) gene and trnL-trnF spacer region
Rfam family: Group I catalytic intron (bases 1-432)
About the family: Group I catalytic introns are large self-splicing ribozymes.
Source: RNAcentral